RNAcentral lists this long non-coding RNA (2792 nucleotides) under Homo sapiens (human). RNAcentral describes it as "HSALNT0323451". The record is from RNAcentral. Lineage: Eukaryota; Metazoa; Chordata; Mammalia; Primates; Hominidae.
CGGGUCAGGGAAGCCGCAGUGCCCGCGGUCCCUUCCCCGCGCGGCGCGGCUCCGGGUAACUAAUGUUCCGAGGCGCCUGACUAAACCCUCCAAAUCCAAGGAAUGUCAGCGCUAACACUCGCGCCCUGGGCGGCAGACAAAUGCGUCCCAGCGGAGCCGCCGCGAGCUCCGCGCCGCCGCUCCCCUCGGCGUCGGCCUGAGCUAGCCGGCAGCCGGCGCGGGGCGGCCGGGCGCCGACACAAGUUAGUUUUCCGGCCCAAGCAGCCCUGCCGCAGCCAAGGAAGAGGAACUGCUCCUCUUCCCCCGGAUAGCGCCCGAGCACUGCCACAGCAGGGGCUUCCCCAGGCGCUGAGGGCUGGGGGCGGCGGGCAGGCGGGGCGGGGACGCCCCUCCGCCAUCUCCGGCCAACCGCCCCUCCCUCGCCCAGGGACGCGAGGGGGACCGGCGGUCCGGGCGAGGCCUCGGCCGCGCAUCGCACCCCGGCUCCCCGCCGCCGGAGUUGAGGGGGAGGCGCGCUCUCCGUAAGAGCCGGAGGCGGGGCGCCAUCGCCCUCCCACUCCCCGGCGGGCGGGCCGGGGGAGCCCGGGGCUGCGAACACCCCCAGACGGGCGGCUGCGGGAGGGGAGGCUGGACCAAGGGGCCUGGUCCACCGGACCAGCGGUGGCGGCAUCGGCAUCUCGCCUCCUUCAGGCCUGCACGCGCCACAGGCCGCAGCCUGGACCAACCCCGCGUCCCCGGGCCGUGAGCGCUGCGGUCCCGGCCCCCCAGAGCGGGACGCCGGGCGGCCGCAGCCCCCCGGACCCGGCUCUCCGCCCGCUCCGCCCGCAGUCCCGGCGCGGAGAGCGGCCGCCCGAGCCGCUGCCGCGGCAGCGCGGGUGUCGGCGACGGAGCCCGGGGCGGGGAAGAGCGGAGGAAGGGGCGGCGAGGGGGCGGGCCGGCGGCGGCCAGGGAGGUCGGAGUGCGCGGGGCUCGGCACCCCCUCGGCCCGCGCUGCGCCAGCACCACCUGCGGAGCUGCGGUGCCCACGCCGUGCCGCGACCCCGCCGCCCCUGCUCCCUCCACACGCGGGCAAACAAAACAAGUUGCCGGUCGCUGCCGCCGGAGGGGGCCGGGCGGGUCACUCACCCUCAUCCUGCUCAGCGGGCUUGGGUCGUCCGGCCGCGGGGUCAGGGAAGACCAGAGGACCACUAGCCCCAGGAAGCUUCCCACCACCAGCAAACUGCGUGGUGAAUUUGUAACCGAAAGGCCCAGGUGAGAUGUGCAAAUAUCACUGGAUUGGAGGAGCUCACUUGGAAAGCCAGUAUUCCUCCUGAGCUAAUGAAAAGAAAGGCUGUCGUCUUAUGCCAAAAGCAAUACCAACCUUGUUCACGGGCUGAGAUCUAGAGUGUGUAAUUCACGAAGUAUGAAUCUGCUGGGUAAUGUGAUAUGAAAAGCGAAUGCACCAUUUCUUGGUGAUGAUUCAGGUCAGCGUUGGGACCCAGGAAUCUCCUGUUAAUCAGUACCCUGGUGAUUUUGAUCCAGAGACGGGGUCUAUUAUCUGGUCCUGUUGUCAAGGCUGGUCUCAAACUCCUGGCCUCCAGCGAUCCUCCCUUUUUGGCCUCCCAAGAUGCUGGUAUUACAGGCAUGAGCCACCAUGGUCCACCCGGACUCCUUUUCAUAGGAGACAGUUCCCUAGGCAGAGACUGGGCUUGAAACAGUUCCUCUAAAGAAGAGGGUAGAGACUAGAACUGAAUGAGAUGGACAUAGAGAUGGCCAAGAAAAGCAUCGUCCUCUGCCAAGUCAUGGGGUCAUGUGUGGUGGAUGGUGACAUGGUGUCCUCAGCUCAGAGUCCAGCUGGGGGCUCAGAAGCAAGAGUGGGUACAGAGGAAAGGCCCUAUGAGGAUACAGCAAGAAGGCAGCCAUCUGCAAGUCAGGAAGAGACCUAUCAUCAGAAACCAACCAUGCUGGCACCUUGAUCUUGGACUUUGAGUCUCCAGAACUGUGAGAAAUAAAGUUGUUGUUUAAGCCACCUAGUCUCUGAUAUUCUGCUACAGCAGUUUGAGCAGAGUAAUAUAGUUGGCUAUCCAGUUAAACGCCCUAUCACCUACAGCCCCAUCCUCAUUGCCUACUUCCUUCUAGAGAGUGAGCUCCCAUAGAUCUGGCUAAGUGAGUAGCAAGGAAGCAAUGUAAUCUUGCGACCUGAGAACAGCCAUUUAUCCCAGCUGUUCACACUUGAUCUAAGUUUGUCCAACAGAUUCACUCUAGGGGGAAUUUAAAGCAGGGACUUAGAAAUUCUAGUUAGUUUCUGUGAGAUGCCUUAAAAGAGAAAGUAUUUGAAGCCUGGGCUGUGGAACCAUGUGCAUGAAUAUUUUUGGGGAGAAGAAAAAGAAUAAAGUAGAUAUGCAAAUGUGUGAAGAGAGGAAGAGAUGCUAAUCCAUGAGAGUAGCCUAAGAGAGACUGGAGGAGGGACCUUGGCUGUGAACUCUGAAGUGCUGACUUCCAGUCUCUUAAGAGUCCCCAUUCAAGUUCUGUACUUGGUUUCUAUGAAAUAUCUCUGAUUUUUAACAAAAAUUCCUUUUUGCUUCAGCUGUCUCUAAGCAACUUCUGUUGUUUUGCAACCUGAUUCCUUAGUAAGACAUAUGGAAACAUGUAAAUCAAAGCCUAAAGUAUGAAUUAAGUAAAAAUUCCACAAUAAACAUAAGGUUGAUUCAUGAAUUUGCUAAUCAUUCUCCCUCACUGUGGAAAUAAUGAGAAUUUUAUUCUUAAUCUAUGGCAGUUAUAGGUCUCUAUAGGUUCAGUUAUUUUGAUUUCUU